GCACAAGCGGUGGAUCAUGUUGUUAAUUCGACGAUACGCGAAGAACCUUACCAGGUCUUGACAUCCCCUGCAAAGCUAUGGAGACAUAGUGGAGGUUAUCAGGGAGACAGGUGGUGCAUGGUUGUCGUCAGCUCGUGUCGUGAGAUGUUGGGUUAAGUCCCGCAACGAGCGCAACCCUUAUUGCUAGUUACCAUCAUUAAGUUGGGGACUCUAGCGAGACUGCCAGUGAUAAACUGGAGGAAGGUGGGGAUGACGUCAAAUCAUCAUGCCCCUUAUGACCUGGGCUACAAACGUGAUACAAUGGCUGAAACAAAGGGCAGCGAAGGAGCGAUCUGGAGCGAAACCCAAAAAAGCAGUCUCAGUUCGGAUUGAAGUCUGCAACUCGACUUCAUGAAGUCGGAAUCGCUAGUAAUCGCGGAUCAGAACGCCGCGGUGAAUAUGUUCUCGGGGUUU
This 453-nucleotide ribosomal RNA is filed under the name uncultured Acholeplasma sp. RNAcentral's name for it is "bacterial SSU rRNA". It matches the Rfam family "Bacterial small subunit ribosomal RNA", at positions 923 to 1382 of the family's 1533-position model. Lineage: Bacteria; Bacillati; Mycoplasmatota; Mollicutes; Acholeplasmatales; Acholeplasmataceae. The record is from RNAcentral.